GACAGAGGCCUCAAGCGUUAGGCGGAAUCACUGGGCUUAAAGCGUGUGUAGGCGGACGCCUAAGUACCUUGUGAAAUCCCACGGCUCACCCGUGGAACUGCUGGGUAUACUGGGUGUCUUGGGCCAUUCAGGGGCAACUGGAACAAGCGGUGGAGCGGUGAAAUGCGUAGAUAUCGCUUGGAACGCCGAAGGUGAAAACAGGUUGCUGGGGGGAUGCGCCGACGCUG
This 227-nucleotide ribosomal RNA is filed under the name uncultured bacterium. Its description in RNAcentral is "partial 16S ribosomal RNA". It matches the Rfam family "Bacterial small subunit ribosomal RNA", at positions 524 to 748 of the family's 1533-position model. The record is from RNAcentral.